Molecule: unclassified non-coding RNA, 220 nt
Filed under: uncultured Thelephoraceae
Lineage: Eukaryota; Fungi; Basidiomycota; Agaricomycetes; Thelephorales; Thelephoraceae
Description: sequence contains ITS2
Source: RNAcentral
ACACCUCAACUCUUGUGGCUUGCCAUGAUGAGCUUGGACUUUGGGGGACUUGCUGGCCUAUGGUCGGCUCCUCUCAAAUGGAUCAGCUUGCCAGUGUUUGGUGGCAUCACAGGUGUGAUAACUAUCUGCGCUUGUGGUUUGCCAUCAGAUAACCUUCAGUGAUGGAGGUUCUCGCUGGAGCUCAUAAACGUCCCUCCUAAGUGAGGACAGCCCCUUGAAC